CAGCUUUUGAAUUGUCUUCCGUCCGUCCUGAGAUUAUCUCCUUCUUCUGUCACUUUAAUUUCCGAUUUGUUUUGAUUUUCAUUGUCUUCUCCUUCAAUCCAAGAGAAAUGCGUUUGAUAUCUUGAAUCGUUUAUUUGCUUUCUCUUUAAAAAAUUCGAUGAAAUGGGUUGGUUAAUCUGAAUUGGCUCUAUCAUCGAGUCAGCAGCAGGCGCCGUUUUAAUGGCGAUCCGUCUGCCGCAUGGAGCCGAUAUUUUGUUACCGGAAGAAGAUCCUUAAAACUUAAUCGUUUUAAGACACAAUGCCCGGUCGACAUUUUUUAAAAAUUUCUAAUCCCCAUCAUCUGCAAUUAGGUCUGUGUAGGGUUUUUGAAUUAGAGUUUGAAUGGGCAUUAAAUUCAGACACGGGUGUUUGUUCAUUAAUCUUACAACAAACAACCUUUUGCACGGUGCCUAUAUUGAGCUACUGAACACGAUUGGGGGAAUCUAUUAUUAUUUUAUAUGUCUCAGAUGACGCCUUUUCAUUUGUUGGAACAAUCUGGAUGAGAGACUCAUCAUGGGAUUCUUGCCUAUCAUCUUUCACAGUUGCUUCUCAGAAAAUAAAUGGAAAAUGAAUGGGAUAAUAUCUUGCGUUAUAAGUGUUGCUUAAUAUUUGAUUUCAUAACUGUUAAUGGUUUUAGAGUUCUGAAAAGCCUCAGUUGGGACAUAGGUUUGAAAUGUGAUCUUCCAUCCCCUUGCUGUCAAUUUAUCGCAACACAUAAACUUUGUAGGCAUACUCUCCUUUUCUUCUUAUUUCCUCAUAAAUGAAACUAAUUCUUAAUUGCGCAAUAA
Cucumis sativus (cucumber) is the source of this 827-nucleotide long non-coding RNA. RefSeq lists it as uncharacterized. Lineage: Eukaryota; Viridiplantae; Streptophyta; Magnoliopsida; Cucurbitales; Cucurbitaceae. The record is from RefSeq and is a predicted model, not a curated record. The transcript has 2 exons.